AUUGAACGCUGGCGGCAUGCCUUACACAUGCAAGUCGAACGGUAACAGGUCUUCGGAUGCUGACGAGUGGCGAACGGGUGAGUAAUACAUCGGAACGUGCCCGAUCGUGGGGGAUAACGAGGCGAAAGCUUUGCUUAUACCGCAUACGAUCUACGGAUGAAAGCGGGGGAUCUUCGGACCUCGCGCGGACGGAGCGGCCGAUGGCAGAUUAGGUAGUUGGUGGGAUAAAAGCUUACCAAGCCGACGAUCUGUAGCUGGUCUGAGAGGAUGAUCAGCCACACUGGGACUGAGACACGGCCCAGACUCCUACGGGAGGCAGCAGUGGGGAAUUUUGGACACUGGGCGAAAGCCUGAUCCAGCCAUGCCGCGUGCAGGAUGAAGGCCUUCGGGUUGUAAACUGCUUUUGUACGGAACGAAAAGCCUCUUUCUAAUAAAGAGGGGUCAUGACGGUACCGUAAGAAUAAGCACCGGCUAACUACGUG
RNAcentral lists this ribosomal RNA (482 nucleotides) under uncultured bacterium. Its description in RNAcentral is "partial 16S ribosomal RNA". It matches the Rfam family "Bacterial small subunit ribosomal RNA", at positions 30 to 507 of the family's 1533-position model. The record is from RNAcentral.